This 267-nucleotide ribosomal RNA is filed under the name uncultured bacterium. RNAcentral describes it as "partial 16S ribosomal RNA". It matches the Rfam family "Bacterial small subunit ribosomal RNA", at positions 793 to 1055 of the family's 1533-position model. The record is from RNAcentral.
GUCCACGCCGUAAACGAUGGAUGCUAGCCGUUGGCGGGUUUACUCGUCAGUGGCGCAGCUAACGAAUUAAGCAUCCCGCCUGGGGAGUACGGUCGCAAGAUUAAAAACUCAAAAGGAAUUGACGGGGGCCCCGCACAAGCGGUGGAGCAUGUGGUUCAAUUCGAAGCAACGCGAAGAACCUUACCAGCCUUUGACAUGCCUCGUAUGGUCGCCAGAGAUGGCUUCCUUCCCGCAAGGGGCAGAGCACAGGUGCUGCAUGGCUGUAGU